Molecule: long non-coding RNA, 5271 nt
Organism: Syngnathus typhle (broad-nosed pipefish)
Lineage: Eukaryota; Metazoa; Chordata; Actinopteri; Syngnathiformes; Syngnathidae
Exons: 2
Source: RefSeq, a predicted model, not a curated record
UGUAGUAUAAAAUUUAAUUAUUUAAUUAAUCAUUAAACACACCCAUCAACCCCUUUUUCGUGCACCAAACACAGAUGUACUUUAAUCCUAACAAUCUGCUUUGACAAAUCUAUUUACUUAUUUAUUUUUAUUUACUUAUUCAAGAAUUAUGAACAGAACAUGCAUACAAACGUUUUGUUCAGCCUAAAUAAGUAUAUGUUGCAAUCGGAACUACUUUUUGUCUCGCGUGAAUACGUAGCCCUACCCGUGACCGAACCACUCAAAGCAUAUAUAAACACCGCCAUUUUGUCUCCUGAGUCACAUUGCUUCGAAUCUUCGUGCGCUUUCCUUGUGGCUGGUCAGGUGAAACCGUUCCUUUUGUCAUUAGAUAUAUAUUUUAUGGUGACAUUCUUUUGUUAAAGAAUGGGGAAAGUGGCUUAGUAUUACGUAGAUUGUAAUGUAGAACUUCUGUUGUUCUGGCAGUAAAUGAACGGUAGUUGGCAUCUUGUCUCCGGUCUUUUAUCAGUGUUUAUUCGCCGUUUGAUCAGACUUAACUUAAAAAAUGUCUGUUUUUUGCUCACCUUAAAACACAAGCUGGCCUUUGUUCAUUUAGAGUACAAUUGAACUUUUUCGUAAUUUAGCGGUUGUAAAGUUGGUGAACCUUUAACUUGGUGGCUGAAUUACUGCCAAAGUUGCCUUUUUACUCGUUUUACCAUCAUCUGCUUAUUUUUUAAAUGGUCUGAAGACUUAUUACGGUCUCAUUUUUGUAACCGUUGUUUUUGCAAAAUGGCCGCCGUGACGUAAGACCUAUGACUAGUUUCAUUGGAUGGUUGGAACCACGUGUGGUCCGCCUUCCGUUUACGACGUCAGUGGCCCAGAUAUAUUUGACCCCCCCUUUUUUCCCCUUAAGUCUCACUACUCUUGAUACCGACCAAGGACAGUUGGUUAUUGAAAAUGUGACCAAAGGUUGCUUGUCUUUUUACGAUGUCCUUGUUAAUUAUGUUACUUGUUUAUUUUGAUUAUAGGAGUUGUCAGUGUAUCAGCCAACAGACACUCGUUUGUGCUACUAACAGGCAAUUUUUGAAGGCAAAUGCCCAAAUCUGAUGAGUCAUCCCACUGAUGGGGGAAAAAAUGCGAGCCAGCAUAAUUUAAAAACAAUGGUAGCCUGUACUUGUAGGUACUGUAAUUUUUUUGAGGCAAUGAUUUUCAAAAGCGUAUUUUUUUAUGUUUUUUUUUAUUUAUUUUUUUGCCACAUCACUACCGAAAAGUUGAGUUGCUUGGAUGAAGCACUUUUGAGACAUCAAGGAAAAUUUUUUUUUGAAAACGCAGAAAUUAAGUUGCAAGCUCAGCUGCUCAAUAUUGAAGAAUUUUUUUUACUUUUUUGGCCCGAUGGACUGAGUUUAUUUGGAGGCAUGAACUUAGUUGUUGAGAGGAAAAUGGACUUAGUUGUUGCAAGGAAGAAUGGACUUAGCCUUUAGAAGAUCGUGGGAUCAGCAACGAGUGAGGCCGACGCGGGGAUGACGAAGCGGGAGCGUGUUGGGACCAGAGGGCAAACCAGGCAGGACAGGACCAGCGCGCGUGUUCCGACCAGAGGGCGAACCAGGCAGAGCAGGACCAGAGGGCGAACCAGGCAGAGCAGGACCAGAGGGCGAACCAGGCAGAGCAGGACCAGAGCGUGCUGAGGGCGAUCAGAGGGGUCCAAAAGAGCAGACAGCAGCAGCCACCAGAUGGAGCCAGUGACAGGGUAGCGUCGUCAAAGGUUCAUCAUUGAAGCGGUUCAGCUGAUCCAGAGCAGGCCAGCCAGCCAAGCGGGUUGAACAGGGCCCAAACAUCUUCAUGCUACGGGUUAAUCACAAAGGCGUUGGUUUGUAUGAUGGUAGAGGUAUCUGUAACAGGCCCUAUUUAAUUCACAAAACUUUCUAUAGGACCAUUGUCUCGUACAGCUUUCUCUUCCCUUUUCCAGGCUAUCUAUAAAGUGUUGCGUACCUUGAUCAUCAAUCCUGUUGCGUGCUGACUCGGCAUGGUGGUGUCCACUGGGACGAGUGCCUUGGUAGUGUGGUGGCGAGAGCAGCGCCUUAUUGGAAUUCUCUACUCCCUGCGAUCACAAGUAGUUCCCCCAGCCAGCGGGGGAGGCAGUCCUUUGUUCGCUAGCCCUACUUGAAGUUUGUCUAAUUGGGUAUCUUCUACACAUUUUUGCAUGGGAAGGGGUGGGGGGGCGUUAACCAGUCUCUUCCCAGACUUCACAGCUUUCAAGUUUCCCAUCACAAUGGCUUGAAUAAGAAUCAACUCGGUGUGCCAACCACACGUCAGUCAAGUGGACAGUUUUCCUCGCAGGAUAGCAGCCUAAAGUAGUCAACCUGGUGUAGCCAGAGCACAUUUGGAAUGUGGUAACAUUCUCUUUACUAAGUCAUUGCAAUUCUGUACAGGCAUGCUGCUGUGGGUUGGGUAUGGGGCUGUGUCUUUGUUACUUUUGCAGAUAAGUUUUACCAGCCCUUCGGUAAGCUACAGCCAAGCCUACGUCUCCACACAUCUAAGAAUAAGGUGGAAAUUCUUCGCGUUCACAACUGCGGUAUUUAAUUACUGUAGGAAACGUCUUUAUUAUACGUCACAAUUUGUAGCUUGCACUGUUGUGUAUUUGGGUGGGGUCCUGUGGGGGAGGCCUUUUCCUUUGCAUUUUUCAGUGUGCCGUGUCCUGUGCGCUUUUCCAAUACCCGCGACCGCCUGGAAGUCUCCUAACUCAUUGUAUGUACACGUUCCUUGCGCUUCGAGCAUCACGUAAGGCCAUUAAAUGUAUCCAUUUUUAACUUUCAUUGUCUUGUAGAAUUCCUCCAUUGCAAUUCCUUUGCAAUUAGUUGACAUCCUUUGUAUUGAUAAUACAAUGAGUGAACUAUUUGUAAAGGAUUCUUUUCUACCUGCAUAAUAAAUGCAUAGCUUGUUGCGAUUGAAUACAGUAUUGGUAUGCAUUUGUUCUUUGGGGGGCUUUUGUGGGGGAGCUCUUUUUGUGCUUUUCAGGUAUUUAAGCUUGGAGCUUUGUUGCGCAUGGAUGUGACCAGGGCUUGAGUGCUCCCUUUCAAAGUGGAAAUUGAAGGCAGAUAAGUGGAUUCCAUCAAAUAUUGAUGUUGGAAAUUAGCUAAAUUCCUAAAACCAAUGUCCAAUGGGCGCGGCCGCCCUCCUCUCAAAAGCAACUUGCUAUACGCAACAUGAUACAUAGCAUUGCUUUGUCGUCUUGUGCUGAGAUAGACACAUUUGAUGGGCCUUGAUUGUCAUAUCUGCAGUAAAGCAUUCGACUAAGGAUAACAAUAGUCAGUUCUACGAUUUAUUUUUUUAUUCAAUAUGGGACUUGUGAGGUUUGUAGGGGUUGUUUUGUCCGUCUCUCUUAAUUCUACAGAGCAGUCAACAAAGGAGGAAUGCGUACUCACCCUUGACAACGCAAGAUUCUUGGUGACCAAGAAAUCAACCGUCACGUUGUCAGGUUUUAAUGCGGUCGCAUUUAGUCCUCAGCUACAUGCCCUUGCGCAACGGUGCAAGUGGCAAGUCUCUAUGCCUUGAAAUAGAAAUGUCAGCCAUCACGCAACUGUGUGAAGUAGAACAUUGUGUAGCUGAGUACAGCUGUGCAUUGUGCAGCUUAAACUAGAUUCGAAUGCAACGCAAAUGUGUUGCACUUAAAUUAGCGCUGGUUAUGGUUGUUCGUGUCCUGCACUUCUCUUUACAGAGCUCAGGUUGUGACACUCGCGCAGAAACGAUGUCAUCUAACCAGGAGACUAGUAAGAUGUUGACUUUGUAUGUUUUAACAGUUGUAGACAAAGACAUCUUGGAACUGGCUUUAUGUUAACCUCAAAUGAAUAACGAUGCUUUACUAGAGAAUUCCUCUUUGGCCAAUGGGCACCCUUGCUUCGCAUCUUAAAACUUAAGAUGAGUAGAAAUUUGAGUUUUCUGUGCUGGGUGUUGUGUAGAUCACUCUGUUUCAGAUUGUUUUCGUCUGUCCACUCCGACCUCGCCCGCCCGCCUCUGAAUGCAAAGUCAUCUGUGGAAGCUGUCGACGAAUGUGUAGCCCCUGAAUGACAUAUCAACCCUUUGUGCGCUUGAGCUUAAAGCCGACAUCCUUCGCAGAACCCUGCUCUUUCUCUUCGUGCGUGUGUGCUUCUUUCCGUUUGGUUUCUCAGGUCAAAUUUCCAAACGCAUUUUCUGUUUUGCGCCUGGGAUGGGCUAGCCUGUGAUGGAACGGAGAAUCCAGUCACUUAGAUCAACAGCUGCAAGUUUGUUUCCCCCCCUCCCCUCCCUAAUGCGCAUCACUUGUAUGUUGAAAGUUAAGUAAUUUCAAUUCUCUUAAUCUCCAUGCUAUGGCUUUAAAGUGUAACUACCUUUGCUGCAUGUACAUCAGCGCUGCAUAACCUGUUUGUACUUUGUGCGUAAUGUUUAGUUACAAUGCCAAGCUUUGGGAGUUUGUGGGGUGGGCACAACAAUCUUGUCUUUUCAGGAUGUUUUUCAGCAUUAAUCACUCGAGGCUCACAUCUUAAACCUCUGCGUCAAGCCGUCGGAUGCCUUGAUUCUGCCUUCCUAGUUUUGAAAUUGUGCUUCACUACGGAAGAGUAGCUGGCCAUUAAUGUGGUUUCGCCUGGUGGUGGUAAAUGAAAACCUAACAUUGGUAUGUUUUCGGGUGUAUAUGGGAGGGGAGGGGGUGGGGAGCUUCAAAUUGUCUGUUUUUUUUCCCCCCCUUACAACAGCUUUGACAGUUCGUUCGACCAGGAGUGUCCUGUCCAGUAUCGUUCAUGAGGGAAAAAUGGGCUUUGCGUACCACCUGAGAUGCUGGUAUCACAUUUAAUGAAGGGAUCCUCUUGAUCACAUCGCCCCACCAUACAUUAUAGUUGCGGGAAAUGCUGGGGUGCGGGGGCAACCAGUUGUCUUCUAGUUUCAGCUUCGUGUCCAGACAUAACCCGUGCGGUGACAAGAUCACAUAGCGGCCAGGUCGUCAUGGGUUUUCUUUUCCUGGAGGAACAAGCUCUUUGCUUUGUUCCUCCAGGUUUUGCUUUUGCCCACAACACAGUAAAAAGCAAAAGACUCCGGUGGUGGCACUCCUGACUCUGUCGGGACGGGGUUCAAUUCCCUGCGGUGUCUUGCUUUAUCAGUGUACCGUGGAAACGCGUUUGAAGCCAGAUGACCAUUGGAGAGGAUGCAGCCCCUUCAGCUGGCGGUCUAUCCUACUGGCAUGACCUUCGUCGGUGUCUUUGUGAUUGCCUCAUAUGUGAAGUACUUUGAAAUGCACUACAAAUAAAAUAUAGAAUAACAAAAUCA